This is a non-coding RNA of Callithrix jacchus (white-tufted-ear marmoset), 4701 nucleotides long. The record is from RefSeq and is a predicted model, not a curated record. Lineage: Eukaryota; Metazoa; Chordata; Mammalia; Primates; Cebidae.
GGCAAGUGUCCUUCUCAGGCCAUAUUAAUUUUGCUUUAAGAAGACAAAUCCUCAUAUGGACCAGACUCUGCAAUUGGCUGCAGGCACCUCCGAGGCCCAGGUCAAGCUUCCAUCAAAAGGGAAAAAGUCUCAGAAACACGAAAAGAUGUUCAUUUUUUUGUUUUUUAAUUGAGAUGGAGUUUCGCUCUUGUUACCCAGGCUGCAGUGCAAUGGCAGGAUCUCGGCUCACCACAACCUCCGCCUCCUGGGUUCAGUCAAUUCUCCUGCCUCAGCCUCCUGAGUAGCUGGGAUUACAGCCACCCAAGCAAUCUGGAAUCCCACACAAACGUGCCUUCUAGACAGGAAGUUUUUAUGAACAUUUUGGAGAAGACAACAAAAACAAGAACAAAAAUGAGAACGGCUGGCUGAGUCUGAAUCUCAAAAAUCUCAAGCUUCUCAUGCAUUUUGAGAACUUGUUAAACAAUAUGAAUAUUCUCCUUGAUGGAAUUUAAAAAGCAUGUGGUUCGAGUCAUCAUUGGGAAAACAUGACAAGGAUUGUGGAACACACAUGAAUUCCAACUUGCUGGGAACCCGCACAUUUUCCUUCAUUCUUUGAAGAAUUGCUAAAAUCAGCCAUCAAGAACAGUAAACACCAAUACUUUGCCUUGAGAGGAAUUGGGGGUUUGAGCUAAAAUAUCUAAAUGACUUGAAAUCUGUGAUUAAACACAGACUUGGUCUUAAGUUUCCUAAUCCUCGCUUUAUCAUCAACAUUCUGCAAUAACUUCUUCCUAAACUUCCCUGCCUCAGUUUACUAGUUUAGCUCUCUGUUACAAUAAUCUCCACAAAUAAUCAUUUUUGCUCAGUUGCUUUUCAUUCAUUUAUGGUUGUUCCAAUUUUAGACUUAACUGGAAUAAAUGAACAUAUGACUUUAAUUUAAACUACAUUUCCUUGUGCUUACCAACAAAAGUGAAUAAUACUAUGUAUCAUGUAUGUAUACAUUUAUUUAUUCUCAAUCACAAGCAUCUCACCAAUUUGAUGAGGGAGGUUAAGUAAAAUGAAAUAAAGUUAUUCUCACCCUUUUACUGUACCUAAACUCAAUGGUUCAACGAAAGUAAAAUGAAAAAGUGAUACUUUAGAUAGUAUUUUCUUCACUGAAAAGCCAGUUGUAGUAGCAUUUAAAAUAUAUAAAAGUAAAGGGAGUUUACAAUGUAUAAACAAUUGAUCAAAAGUUUCACAGUAUAAAUGAUUCUUGUUAUUAGCUGUAGUUACGUUUUAUAAAAUCAGCACAAACCCAGAAUCAGCAAAUACUGAGCCAUUUCUCCUAGGGGAAAGCCAGAGUUCACUUCCUUCAAGGUGUUGGUCACAACAUUUUCAUCAGCUGAUCAACAGCAGACUUGUUUUCUGUGUGUUUCUGUUUAAAGAGGCCGUGUUUAAUAUGUAUGGUUAUUCAUCAACACUGAAAGCCAGUGGUAUUAUAACCGGCGCCUGAAUGAAGGUUCUCCAACAGGUAUGUUUUCUGUCUCAGACACAUCACAGCCUUCUUGUAUUUAGACACAUUAGAUAACACUUUUGCAGUAGCUUGGGAGCCUUUUUAAAUAGCAAGAUCACCAACAAAAAUCAUAAAAGUGGACAGUGUGCACCUAAAUGGACCAAAAAUGAGAACGCUUGUUUACAUAAUGAGAGCUGAAACAAGAAGGCAAAAUGUCCCCUGGUUCAACCUCAGCUGGUGACUCAAACUUUGACCACUGUGCACAUGUCCGUGAAUGACCUUGAAAUCACCAUGACUAUUGACUUGGAGGUUACAGAUACGUUUUAACCAGUAGGCAAGUUUGCAGAUGCAGUCUGUGAAUAAUAAAGAUCGAUUGCACUUCUGAAAGGAUUAUUGAAAGCAUUUCUCUCCUGUACUAAAAUAUUAUUUUGCCAAUACCAAUACUGUCACUUCUGAAUAUUGUCUUUCUUCCUUAUGUAACUUUCUCUUUUUAGAAAAAUCCUUCAAAAUUUCUGAAUGUUUUUUCUUGGCUAAUACUCUUUAUGCUCACCCUGUAAUUCACAAAGGAUCACAUUUGUUGCUGUCAUUAAUACAUAUCUUAGGUGACAGAAAAGAAGCUGUACCAGACGCUGUCUGGAUCCUGCCCACCUUCACCCAACCCACCCUGAAUAGAACUUGCAGACAUGCCUGAAACUUUCUUUGUUUUUUUGGCCUGAAAACAUUCUCUUUCAGAAGAAUAUGCUAGACACCCCAGAACAGAUGAGAAGGGGGACCAACUUAAUGCAUCAAGAGUAAUUGAGUACCCCAGUUCAUACUCCGCAGUGGGAAAGUUCCUAAGCAGGUUCCAUGUAGUCUCCCAGGAGGCCCAGUAGGAUUGCACCUUGUUGCCCACAACAGGCACCUGCUCAGUCAUGCCUCACUAAUGACUAACACCUUUCCUGCCUCAACACCCCACUCUAUGCAUUGCCUCUCACAUGCAAUCCUUUUAUUCAAAUCAUUGAAUCAAGUUAUGCCUUUUUUUAAAAAAAACUUUAAGUUCCAGGAUACAUGUGCAGAAAUGUACAUAUAUCCUUGAACUUAAAGUAAAAUAAACGUGCAGAUUUGUUACAGAGAUAUACAGGUGCCAUGACCAAUCAACCCAUCAUCUAGAUUUUAAGCCCUGUAUGCAUUAGGUAUUUGUCCUAAUCUCUCCCUCCCCUUGUCUGGUCCUCUCCCUGUGUCCAUGUGUUCUCCUUGUUCAACUCUCACUUACAAGUGAGAACAGGCAGGGGUUGGUUUUCUCUUCCUAUGUUAGUUUACUGAGAAUGAUGGCUUCCAGCUUCAUACAUGUCCCUGCAAAAGACAUGGUCUCAUUCUUUCUUCUGGCUAAGAUGGAUAAAGACUUAAAUGUAAAACCCAAAACCAUAAAAACCCUAGAAGAAAACCUACAAAAUGCCAUUUAGUACAUAGGCAUGGGCAAAGACUUCAUGACUAAAACACCAAAAGCAAUGGCAACAAAAGCCAAAAUUGGCAAAUGGGAUCUAACUAAACUAAAGAGCUUCUGCACAGCAAAAGAAACUAGCAUCAGAGUGAACAGACAACCUACAAAAUGAAAGAAAAAUUUUGCAAUCUACGUAUCUGACAAAGGUCUAAUAUCCAGAAUCUACAGGAAAAAAACCAACAGCCUCAUCCAAAACAGACAAAGGAUAUGAACAGACACUUCUCAAGUUCUGCUUUUAUGGUAACUCAAACUAAAGUAGAAACUAUUUUCUCUGGGAAUCCUACUGCAACAACUUGCAUUUCUAGAGACUUGUUUGAGCUUCCAGCUUAGAGACAUAAUAGGGUGGACUGAAAAGGAGUCCUACUGGUUCUGCUAUUGCCUAAUUCUUGGUUCCUUAGGGAUGUUAGAACAAAUUACUGCAACUGGGUUGCUUAAAACAAUGAAUAUUUAUUCUUUCACAGUUCUGAAGGCCAGAGGUCUGAAAUUCAGGUGACAGUAGAGCUGUGCUCUCUCUGAAGGCUCUGAGAGAGAUUCUGUUCUUAGCCUCUGGUGUGGCCAGCAUGCCUCGGCAUUCCUGGGCUUGUGGGUGCAUCACUCUAAUUCCGUCUCUGACAUUACAUGGUGCUCUUUCUGUGUGUCAGUGCCCUCGGAGCUCAAUGCCUUUUUGCCUCCACUUAUAAAGACAACAGUCAUUGGAUUAGAACCCACCCAAUGACCUCAUUUUUCCUCAAUAACAAAUUCAAAGACUAUUUUCUAAUAAUGUUACAUAUACAGGGAGUUAGGACUGGCACAUCUCAUUUCGGGGAUGGGAUUCAACCAAAAAUCAUGCCUUAUGUCCUUGUCUACAAAAUGUACAUUUUUGACAAAGAAGAUGAUCUCUGAGGCCCAUUUUAGCUCUGUGAUUCUAUAAUUCGGACCUUAAAGAUGUGUGUUACUUUCACUGCUGUUUUUAUUUUCUUACUCUUAUCUUCCCAUCAUCUCCACGGAAUAAAUCCAAUUAUGAUUUCACUGAAAGGAAAUACACAUGGCACUGCAUAUUGAAACAGAGAAAAUAAACAUGAAUGAAACUGAUGUCUCUUAAAAUAAUUAUAUUUUCAACCCUAAGCAUUUAACUUUCUAAUCCACAGCAACAUACUCAUUUAACAUCUAUAAAGUAUUUUUAAAACCACUGGGUUAAAGUAAUAAUUACCAAUGACAUGAUUUUCCUGGAGGACAAUCAUGUUGCUGAAGAGACAUUUCUCAGGUACAGUCAAAUAAAAUGUUAAUGUAGGAUUUUAUCUGUUCAAGGUUUCCUGUGGGUUUGCAAAGUUCAGGGUGCCUUUCACACAGUUUGAUUUGUGUUCCCUACAAGGGAACGUGUAUGGAUGGGGCUGAUGCUAUUUCAUUUUAUUUAUUUUUAUUUCUUAUUUUUGAGACAGAGUUUCACUCUUGUUGCCCAGGCUGGAGUGCAAUGGCAUGACCCCAGCUCACUGCAACCUCCGACUCCCGGGUUCAAGCGAUUCUCCUACCUCAGCUUCCCAAGCAGCUGGGAUUACAGGCAUGUGUCACCACGCCUGGCUAAUUUUGUAUUUUUAGUAGAGACUGGAUUUCUCCAUGUUGGUCAGGGUGGUCUGGAACUCCUGACCUCAGGUGAUUCACCUGCCUCAGCAUCCCAAAGUAUUGGGAUUACAGGCGUGUGCCACUGCGCCCACCUUAUUUUUCUGCAAGCUAUAAUGUGUUCUGUAUGAUUACAAUACUGUGGACUGGAAGUGAA